RNAcentral lists this long non-coding RNA (317 nucleotides) under Homo sapiens (human). Its description in RNAcentral is "non-protein coding lnc-SCN9A-72:2". The record is from RNAcentral. Lineage: Eukaryota; Metazoa; Chordata; Mammalia; Primates; Hominidae.
CGAGGAUGAAGCCGAGAGGAUACUGCAGAGGUCUCUGGUGCAUGUGUGUAUGUGUGCGUUUGUGUGUGUUUGUGUGUCUGUGUGUUCUGCCCCAGUGAGACUGCAGCCCUUGUAAAUACUUUGACACCUUUUGCAAGAAGGAAUCUGAACAAUUGCAACUGAAGGCACAUUGUUAUCAUCUCGUCUUUGGGUGAUGCUGUUCCUCACUGCAGAUGGAUAAUUUUCCUUUUAAUCAGAACAGCAUAAGAAUUAUUUCUGAGUGGAGGUGAGGCUUGUCCAAAUGUCUUUGCUAUCAUGGAUUUCCUGACUCCUACCUG